Molecule: ribosomal RNA, 474 nt
Filed under: uncultured soil bacterium
Lineage: Bacteria
Description: bacterial SSU rRNA
Rfam family: Bacterial small subunit ribosomal RNA
Source: RNAcentral
GGGACGAACGCUGGCGGCGUGCUUAACACAUGCAAGUCGAGCGGUAAGGCCUUUCGGGGUACACGAGCGGCGAACGGGUGAGUAACACGUGGGUGAUCUGCCCUGCACUCUGGGAUAAGCCUGGGAAACUGGGUCUAAUACCGGAUAUGACCUGCUCUCGCAUGGGGGGUGGGUGGAAAGAUUUAUCGGUGCAGGAUGGGCCCGCGGCCUAUCAGCUUGUUGGUGGGGUAAUGGCCUACCAAGGCGACGACGGGUAGCCGACCUGAGAGGGUGACCGGCCACACUGGGACUGAGACACGGCCCAGACUCCUACGGGAGGCAGCAGUGGGGAAUAUUGCACAAUGGGCGAAAGCCUGAUGCAGCGACGCCGCGUGAGGAUGAAGGCCUUCGGGUUGUAAACCUCUUUCAGCAGGACGAAGCGCAAGUGACGGUACCUGCAGAAGAAGCACCGGCUAACUACGUGCCAGCAGCCGC